This is a long non-coding RNA of Onychostoma macrolepis, 619 nucleotides long. RefSeq lists it as uncharacterized. The record is from RefSeq and is a predicted model, not a curated record. NCBI's taxonomy places the organism in Eukaryota, Metazoa, Chordata, Actinopteri, Cypriniformes, Cyprinidae. The transcript is spliced from 3 exons.
UGGAGAGCACACCUUGUUAUUUAUUUAUUUUUUAAGUGUAUCGCUAGAUCAACAAACUGAACAGCACGCCGCUUCUUAUAAUGGACUGCUUCGCGAUCAUAACCUGUGUCCGUGCUGUGAUGGUAAACGUGAACAAGGGAGGAAACAUUUCCCUCUUCGUCAGAACAUCUCAGCCGAAGACUUUUUGUCUACGAAAAGUACAAAAAAACGAGACCCAAGAGAUCUCCUGCUAUUGUUCCCCCGAAGAGCAAAAGCUUGGCUGCAAACCAAGCAACUCGAGUAGAUUUUCACACCACGUUGGUGAUGAGAACUUGUCCAUAACUUUUCCUGAUGCCGACACCAGCGACGAAGGGUGUUACGUUGUCGAAGUUAUCGAUAACAAAAACAAAAUGAUUCCACUUUGUUAUUCCGUUUCAUUGACCGAACAACUGCCCAGUUCCAUUAACCCUGAACCUCCAUCCAUCCAUUUACCACACCUGCUUUAUCCACCAAAGCAGGAGAGACAUUCGGGACAAAUGGACCAGUCAGCACAGAACGAUAUCACAAAAUAACAUGGGGCAUCAUAGGGGGCCUUAUACCGCUCAUACUGGUCAUUGUUGUCACUGGUAUCAUCUGCUGU